RNAcentral lists this ribosomal RNA (1137 nucleotides) under Salmonella enterica. RNAcentral's name for it is "partial 23S ribosomal RNA". It matches the Rfam family "Bacterial large subunit ribosomal RNA", at positions 711 to 1761 of the family's 2925-position model. Lineage: Bacteria; Pseudomonadati; Pseudomonadota; Gammaproteobacteria; Enterobacterales; Enterobacteriaceae. RNAcentral also lists the same sequence under 2 other names. The record is from RNAcentral.
AGACCCGAAACCCGGUGAUCUAGCCAUGGGCAGGUUGAAGGUUGGGUAACACUAACUGGAGGACCGAACCGACUAAUGUUGAAAAAUUAGCGGAUGACCUGUGGCUGGGGGUGAAAGGCCAAUCAAACCGGGAGAUAGCUGGUUCUCCCCGAAAGCUAUUUAGGUAGCGCCUCGUGAAUUCAUCUCCGGGGGUAGAGCACUGUUUCGGCUAGGGGGCCAUCCCGGCUUACCAACCCGAUGCAAACUGCGAAUACCGGAGAAUGUUAUCACGGGAGACACACGGCGGGUGCUAACGUCCGUCGUGAAGAGGGAAACAACCCAGACCGCCAGCUAAGGUCCCAAAGUCAUGGUUAAGUGGGAAACGAUGUGGGAAGGCCCAGACAGCCAGGAUGUUGGCUUAGAAGCAGCCAUCAUUUAAAGAAAGCGUAAUAGCUCACUGGUCGAGUCGGCCUGCGCGGAAGAUGUAACGGGGCUAAACCAUGCACCGAAGCUGCGGCAGCGAACGUAUCACCCAAGACAACUUUACGGAGUUGACGAUUGACGGAGCGAAGCGACGUCAAAGCGUUCAUUAAAGUCGAGUUGGCUUAGGGAUACGUUCGUUGGGUAGGGGAGCGUUCUGUAAGCCUGUGAAGGUGUGUCGUGAGGCAUGCUGGAGGUAUCAGAAGUGCGAAUGCUGACAUAAGUAACGAUAAAGCGGGUGAAAAGCCCGCUCGCCGGAAGACCAAGGGUUCCUGUCCAACGUUAAUCGGGGCAGGGUGAGUCGACCCCUAAGGCGAGGCCGAAAGGCGUAGUCGAUGGGAAACGGGUUAAUAUUCCCGUACUUGGUGUUACUGCGAAGGGGGGACGGAGAAGGCUAUGUUGGCCGGGCGACGGUUGUCCCGGUUUAAGCGUGUAGGUGUGUGUUCCAGGUAAAUCCGGUUCACUUUAACACUGAGGCGUGACGACGAGGCACUACGGUGCUGAAGCAACAAAUGCCCUGCUUCCAGGAAAAGCCUCUAAGCAUCAGGUAACACGAAAUCGUACCCCAAACCGACACAGGUGGUCAGGUAGAGAAUACCAAGGCGCUUGAGAGAACUCGGGUGAAGGAACUAGGCAAAAUGGUGCCGUAACUUCGGGAGAAGGCACGCUGACACGUAG